Molecule: ribosomal RNA, 941 nt
Filed under: uncultured bacterium
Lineage: Bacteria
Description: bacterial SSU rRNA
Rfam family: Bacterial small subunit ribosomal RNA
Source: RNAcentral
GUGCCAGCCGCCGCGGUAAUACGGAGGUGGCAAGCGUUACUCGGUUUGACUGGGUGUAAAGGGUUCGCAGGCGGCUAGAUAAGUGGAGGGUGAAAUCCUUCGGCUCAACCGAAGAACUGCCCUCUAAACUAUCUGGCUAGAGGCUGGGAGAGGAGAACAGAACUGCCGGUGUAAGGGUGAAAUCUGUGGAUAUCGGCAGGAACGCCUGUGGUGUAAACGGUUCUCCGGUCCAGUCCUGACGCUCAGGAACGAAAGCUAGGGGAGCAAACAGGAUUAGAUACCCUGGUAGUCCUAGCCGUAAACGAUGGGCACUAGGUGUUUGUCCGUAAGGAUGGGUGCCGAAGUUAACACGUUAAGUGCCCCACCUGGGGACUACGGCCGCAAGGCUAAAACUCAAAGGAAUUGGCGGGGGCCCGCACAAGCGGUGGAACACGUGGUUUAAUUCGAUGCUACGCGAGGGACCUUACCAGGGUUUGACAUGCUGGUAGUAAUCGCCUGAAAGGGUGGGUGAACUGUAACCAGUCAGUUGCCAGCACAGGUGCUGCAUGGCUGUCGUCAGCUCGUGCCGUGAGGUGUUCCCUUAAGUGGGAGAACGAGCGCAACCCUCGUCCUUUGUUGCUAUCUCUAAUGUUGAAUUAGAGAGCACUCUAAGGAGACUGCCCGCGUUAAGUGGGAGGAAGGCGGGGACGACGUCAAGUCCGCAUGGCCCUUAUGUCCUGGGCUACACACGUGUUACAAUGCCGGUUACAACGGGAUGCCAAACCGCAAGGUGGAGCAAAUCCUUAAAAAACCGGCUCAGUUCGGAUUGAGGGCUGCAACUCGUCCUCAUGAAGCUGGAAUCGCUAGUAAUGGCGCAUCAGCUACGGCGCCGUGAAUACGUUCCCGGGCCUUGCACACACCGCCCGUCAAGCGCUGAAAGUGGGAGGCACCCGAAUUCUCCG